CGGGACGGGUGAGUAACGCGUGGGUAACCUGCCUCACACAGGGGGAUAACAGUUGGAAACGGCUGCUAAUACCGCAUAAGCGCACAGUACCGCAUGGUACAGUGUGAAAAACUCCGGUGGUGUGAGAUGGACCCGCGUCUGAUUAGCUAGUUGGCAGGGCAACGGCCUACCAAGGCGACGAUCAGUAGCCGACCUGAGAGGGUGACCGGCCACAUUGGGACUGAGACACGGCCCAA
This 236-nucleotide ribosomal RNA is filed under the name uncultured bacterium. RNAcentral's name for it is "partial 16S ribosomal RNA". It matches the Rfam family "Bacterial small subunit ribosomal RNA", at positions 100 to 334 of the family's 1533-position model. The record is from RNAcentral.